This 496-nucleotide ribosomal RNA is filed under the name uncultured bacterium. RNAcentral describes it as "partial 16S ribosomal RNA". It matches the Rfam family "Bacterial small subunit ribosomal RNA", at positions 29 to 507 of the family's 1533-position model. The record is from RNAcentral.
AUGAACGCUGGCGGCGUGCCUAAUACAUGCAAGUCGAGCGAACGGACGAGAAGCUUGCUUCUCUGAUGUUAGCGGCGGACGGGUGAGUAACACGUGGAUAACCUACCUAUAAGACUGGGAUAACUUCGGGAAACCGGAGCUAAUACCGGAUAAUAUUUUGAACCGCAUGGUUCAAAAGUAAAAGACGGUCUUGCCGUCACUUAUAGAUGGAUCCGCGCUGCAUUAGCUAGUUGGUAAGGUAACGGCUUACCAAGGCAACGAUGCAUAGCCGACCUGAGAGGGUGAUCGGCCACACUGGAACUGAGACACGGUCCAGACUCCUACGGGAGGCAGCAGUAGGGAAUCUUCCGCAAUGGGCGAAAGCCUGACGGAGCAACGCCGCGUGAGUGAUGAAGGUCUUCGGAUCGUAAAACUCUGUUAUUAGGGAAGAACAUAUGUGUAAGUAACUGUGCACAUCUUGACGGUACCUAAUCAGAAAGCCACGGCUAACUACGUG